UACGGAAGGUGCAAGCGUUGUUCGGAUUGACUGGGCGUAAAGAGCACGUAGGCGGGUUUGUAAGUCGCUUGUGAAAGCCCUGGGCUUAACCUGGGAACGGCAAGCGAAACUGCAAGUCUUGAAUGUCUGAGAGGUUAGUGGAAUUCCUGGUGUAGGAGUGAAAUCCGUAGAUAUCAGGAGGAACACCGGAGGCGAAGGCGGCUAACUGGCAGAGCAUUGACGCUGAGGUGCGAAAGCGUGGGGAGCAAACAGG
RNAcentral lists this unclassified non-coding RNA (253 nucleotides) under uncultured Oligoflexaceae bacterium. RNAcentral's name for it is "contains 16S-23S intergenic spacer region". It matches the Rfam family "Bacterial small subunit ribosomal RNA", at positions 524 to 776 of the family's 1533-position model. The record is from RNAcentral. Lineage: Bacteria; Pseudomonadati; Bdellovibrionota; Oligoflexia; Oligoflexales; Oligoflexaceae.